Molecule: non-coding RNA, 2391 nt
Organism: Dermacentor andersoni
Lineage: Eukaryota; Metazoa; Arthropoda; Arachnida; Ixodida; Ixodidae
Source: RefSeq, a predicted model, not a curated record
AGGGCGUCUCGGGCAGAUAGGAGACUUCAUGCACGGUGUUUUUAAGCACACCAAUGUUCUUCGAGCAGACGUGCUUGCGUGUGUAGGUCCGGUCGGUCGUGUCAAUGGCGUCAGUGAACAACACAAGGAUUUCCUUCUCGAAUUCAACACCGGAGCAAAUUCGGAGAGCUAGAAAAAGACAGCCAUCUGUUCUAAACGGAAUCAACAGCUCAUAUGAAGACAGGAACAGCGAUUACUUGUGCCCAAUAUGCUUCGAUGUUAUUGAAGAAGCUCACAUGACACCUUGUGGACACACUUUUUGCUACAAGUGCAUCACAACAGGCCUGGAAUACAGUAACCGAUGCCCAAAGUGUAAUUUUGUGAUUGAAAAGAAGGAGCAGAUCUAUCCAAACUUUUUGUUGAAUGAGCUUAUUACAAAGUAUAAGCAAAAGGCCGCUGACAAGAGGCUGAAGUUGCAAGGCAAUAACCCAGUAGUGUCAGAAUUACAUGAACUUAUUCUGCAGGAGUCUGACAGCAUGAAUUUGAAUGAUGUCUACAAUAUGCUGGAUGUUCUUUCAAAGAAGAAGCAGCAGCUGGAAGCUGAUUGUAAAGCAGCACAAGCACAACUUCUGAGAGAGUUUCUACAGCAAGUUCGCAAGCACAAGCAAGAGCAAAUGCACCAGCUUACCUCUGAGCUGAGCUUCAUUGAUCAAGACCUGAAACGGGUUGAGGAAAGUUCCAAGUCUCCAGAUAAUUGUUGGCUUGUUGAUCCUGCAUCUUGUUUAGCUGGUGGGGAUGCAGCCAGUACAGCAAAUGCAAGCACCAUGCAGGAUGGGUUCAAUGGCAGCAAGCAUGGAAGCAAGCCACAGUGGGUGCAGACCACUUUGGCAUCCCGCCGGAAACGUGUCCACCUGCACUUCGAUGACUUGGAAGACUGCUACCUCACAGCGCGGACAAAGAGCCUCAACUCCACAUCUGCUGAUGGCCUAAAGGAGUUUACAGAAAACCUUUCAAAGUUCACAAGGUACAGCAGCAUGCGCCCUUUGGCAACACUCAACUAUGCCACUGAUCUGCUCAAUGGCACCAGCAUUGUUUCCAGCAUAGAAUUUGACAAGGACAAUGAGUUUUUUGCCAUAGCUGGGGUCACCAAGAAGAUAAAGGUCUUUGAGUAUGGCACAGUUAUACAGGACAUUGUGGACAUCCACUACCCUGUCAAUGAGAUGAUGUGCAAUUCAAAGAUAAGUUGCAUCAGUUGGAGUUCAUAUCAUAAGGGCAUGCUGGCCUCUAGUGACUAUGAAGGCACUGUGACCAUCUGGGAUGCUUUUACUGGACAGAAGGUGAAAAUGUACCAGGAGCAUGAAAAGCGGUGCUGGAGUGUUGAUUUUAACAAGGUGGACACAAAGAUGAUUGCUUCAGGAUCAGAUGACGCAAAAGUGAAGUUAUGGUCUUUAUCCUGUGACCAUUCAGUGACAUCUCUGGAAGCCAAAGCAAAUGUUUGCUGUGUGAAGUUCAACCCGGAGUCGAGAUAUCACUUAGCACUUGGCUCUGCUGAGGAGGAUGGAUGCUCUAGGCUUGAUCACUGCGUCCACUACUAUGACCUAAGAAGUGUGAAGCAGCCACUAGGUGUUUUCAAAGGCCACAAGAAGGCUGUUUCUUAUGUCAAGUUCCUCAACACGACAGAGCUGGUGUCUGCUUCCACUGACAGCCAACUGAAGCUGUGGAAUAUCAGCAACCCCCACUGCCUCCGAUCAUUCAAGGGGCAUCUCAAUGAGAAAAACUUCGUUGGCCUUGCAACUGAUGGAGAUUACGUGGCAUGUGAUGGAGCUUGCCUCUGCCGCAUCACAGCCCAUGCAAGAGGCUGCGUUUCUACCAGAGAGCCCGCCUUCAGGCAUAGCGUUCGCCACCAGCGUUUCCUAGUAAACAUUACAGUUACAUACGCUGCAGUUGCCUGGAGGUGCAAGAAGCAGUCGGGGAUCUUUGAAUGCUAUCGCGUUCCACUCUUAAAGGAAGUGAAAACAAUGCUCUGUACAUUUACUACAAGGGGCUGUCCAAGCAAGUGCUGACAUUCAGGUUUGACGUGGAAAAGGACAAAAAAGAGGAAGACAGCAAUGAGUUUGUCAGUGCUGUGUGCUGGAGAAUGGGCUCCAGUGUAGUGGUAGCAGCUAACAGUCAAGGAACUAUCAAGGUGCUAGAGUUGGUAUGAAAGCUGAACUUCUGGGCACCUUGUUCGAGUUCAGACACCAUCACACCAUGCAGUUGCACAGCUAUACUCUUUGAGUUAGAAUGUGCUGCUUAGUGACUUUUAUUUUUCUGUACAUACUGUAUUCGUUUACCGAUACAUUUUGUUUUCCCAUAAAUGUUGUUUUCCAUGUGUGGACAAAAUAAAUGCACUGAACAUGUUGUAAAAACAAA